This 499-nucleotide ribosomal RNA is filed under the name uncultured bacterium. RNAcentral's name for it is "bacterial SSU rRNA". It matches the Rfam family "Bacterial small subunit ribosomal RNA", at positions 28 to 562 of the family's 1533-position model. The record is from RNAcentral.
UUGGAACGCUGGCGGCAUGGCUAAAACAUGCAAGUCGAACGAGAAAGAGGAGCAAUCCUCGAGUAAAGUGGCGAAAGGGUGAGUAAUACGUUUCUACGUGCCUUGAGGUCAGGGAUAGCCAAGGGAAACCUUGGGUAAUACCUGAUGUGGUCUACGGAUCAAAGGCUUGCCGCCUCAAGAGCGGGGAACGUCCUAUCAGCUAGUUGGUGAGGUAACGGCUCACCAAGGCUAAGACGGGUAGCGGGUGUGAGAGCACGGCCCGCCACAUCGGAACUGAGACACUGUCCGGACUCCUACGGGAGGCUGCAGUAACGAAUCUUCCGCAAUGCGCGAAAGCGUGACGGAGCAAUGCCGCGUGCAGGAUGAAGCCCUUCGGGUGUAAACUGCUGUCAGGUUUUAGCAAGAAAGUGAGCAAGACCAAAGGAAGAGACGACUAACUCUGUGCCAGCAGUCGCGGUAAUACAGAGGUCUCGAGCGUUCAACGGAUUCAUUGGGUACG